This is a long non-coding RNA of Aedes albopictus (Asian tiger mosquito), 624 nucleotides long. RefSeq lists it as uncharacterized. The record is from RefSeq and is a predicted model, not a curated record. NCBI's taxonomy places the organism in Eukaryota, Metazoa, Arthropoda, Insecta, Diptera, Culicidae. The transcript has 2 exons.
CGGUUGUUUGCGAAAACCCAUCGAUGGGUAAAAAAACACCCAUUUACGAGUACCUUGCAGAUCUGUCAAAACAUGGGUAAAAUCAAUAAUACAAAAAGAGUAAAAAAAUACCCAUGUUUGGAAACCGAUCUUCACCCCAUUAAUGGGUGAAAAAUAGUUGUAAAAGUUUGCGUUGCUACCUCGUUUGCCGUCUUCAGUCACAACGAUUCAGAAGUUAGUUUUUCCCACGUUACUGCUCUUAUCUACUUUAAUCUUUUUCACGAAUUAUGUUCCGGUUCAUAUAAAUAGUUACGUCAUGAAGAACCAGAUGCUUUGAAGAUAUCUUCAAGGCGCACUUCAAUGCUUCCGGAACGAAGUCCGCUGCAUCUGUUUUAAGCGGAUGCUUCAGACGCACAGCACGACCCAGACCAGACCAGGUUCCGAAAGCCUUGGGCCUUGCCGCAACCCUAUUAAAUGGAUCCAGUUCUGUGCAGCUACCGAAUCGAAUCUGAAGGGACGCCAAUGCACUUGACCGGGUGAAUCCGGAGCAAAGGAGCCUAAACUUAAACAAGCGAAUAUGUUUUUAUGAUUUUUUUGUUAAAUUAUAUGUAUAUUAUGUUAUUCAAAUAAAACUCAUACAAAUCU